GGGGGGGGGGGGGGGGGGGGGGGGGGGGGGGGGGGGGGGGGGGGGGGGGGGGGUGGUGGGGGGUGCUGGCGUGGCGCACGGGUGAGGGACCCGUGAGUGCCCGGCCCUGGGCUUUGGGAUAGCUUCGGGACACUGUCUCUCAUCCCGGAUCGGAGCUCCUUCUGCAUGGUGGGGGUUGGAAAGUUUCGGCGGUUGUGCGUGGACUCGCUGCUGACCAGCUUGUUGGUGGGGUAGUGGCUUACCAAGGCUUUGACGGGUCGCCCGCCUGAGAGGGUUACCGGCCACAUUGGGACUGAGAUACGGCCCAGACUCCUACGGGAGGCAGCAGUGGGGAAUAUUGCACAAUGGGCGGAAGCCUGAUGCAGCAACGCCGCGUGCGGGAUGACGGCCUUCGGGUUGUAAACCGCUUUCGCCUGUGACGAAGCGUGAGUGACGGUAAUGGGUAAAGAAGCACCGGCUAACUACGUG
RNAcentral lists this ribosomal RNA (468 nucleotides) under uncultured bacterium. RNAcentral describes it as "partial 16S ribosomal RNA". The stretch from base 53 to 468 matches the Rfam family "Bacterial small subunit ribosomal RNA", at positions 39 to 507 of the family's 1533-position model. The record is from RNAcentral.